CCUACGGGAGGCCGCAGUGGGGAAUAUUGCACAAUGGGCGAAAGCCUGAUGCAGCAACGCCGCGUGAGUGACGAAGGCCAUCGGGUUGUAAAGCUCUGUCUUCUGGGACGAUAAUGACGGUACCAGAGGAGGAAGCCACGGCUAACUACGUGCCAGCAGCCGCGGUAAU
This 169-nucleotide ribosomal RNA is filed under the name uncultured bacterium. RNAcentral describes it as "partial 16S ribosomal RNA". It matches the Rfam family "Bacterial small subunit ribosomal RNA", at positions 338 to 524 of the family's 1533-position model. The record is from RNAcentral.